GUCCAGACUCCUACGGGAGGCAGCAGUGGGGGAUAUUGCACAAUGGGGGGAACCCUGAUGCAGCGACGCCGCGUGAGCGAUGAAGUAUUUCGGUAUGUAAAGCUCUCUCAGCAGGGAAGAAAAUGACGGUACCUGACUAAGAAGCCCCGGCUAACUACGUGCCAGCAGCCGCGGUAAUACGUAGGGGGCAAGCGUUAUCCGGAUUUACUGGGUGUAAAGGGAGCGUAGACGGCUGUGCAAGUCUGAAGUGAAAGGCAAGGGCUCAACCUUUGGACUGCUUUGGAAACUGUGCAGCUAGAGUGCGGGAGGGGCAGGCGGAAUUCCUGGUGUAGCGGUGAAAUGCGUAGAUAUCAGGAGGAACACCGGCGGCGAAGGCGGCCUGCUGGACCGUAACUGACGUUGAGGCUCGAAAGCGUGGGGAGCAAACAGGAUUAGAUACCCUGGUACA
RNAcentral lists this ribosomal RNA (448 nucleotides) under uncultured bacterium. RNAcentral's name for it is "bacterial SSU rRNA". It matches the Rfam family "Bacterial small subunit ribosomal RNA", at positions 329 to 794 of the family's 1533-position model. The record is from RNAcentral.